UUAUGAUGGAUGAUGUGGAUGAGUUCUCUGCUGCUCCGGUGAUUGCUUGGCUAAUGUACACGAGAGAAACUUUGCGUGAGUUACACUAUAAUGUCAGGACUACACCAAACAUUAAUAUUCUUGAGAUAUGUGGUCGCCAGAGACUGGAAGUAUUGGGUCUGGCACACAAUACGAUUACGGGUGUUGAACCUAGUUACCAAAAAUUUCCUUGCUUGAGGUCUCUUUCACUGAGCUAUGUCAGUGUAUCAGCGUUGGACCUCAGUAUUUUUCUCACAGCCUGCCCGAAAGUUGAGGUCUUGAGCCUUAUAAGUCUGGAUAUUGUUAUGUCUGAUCCGCAUGCCUCAAUGGAGCUGAG
RNAcentral lists this unclassified non-coding RNA (355 nucleotides) under Hevea brasiliensis (rubber tree). The record is from RNAcentral. Lineage: Eukaryota; Viridiplantae; Streptophyta; Magnoliopsida; Malpighiales; Euphorbiaceae.